RNAcentral lists this unclassified non-coding RNA (337 nucleotides) under soil metagenome. Its description in RNAcentral is "partial contains 5.8S ribosomal RNA, internal transcribed spacer 2, and large subunit ribosomal RNA". The stretch from base 1 to 120 matches the Rfam family "5.8S ribosomal RNA", at positions 35 to 154 of the family's 154-position model. The record is from RNAcentral.
GAUGAAGAACGUAGCGAAAUGCGAUAAGUAGUGUGAAUUGCAGAAUUCAGUGAAUCAUCGAAUCUUUGAACGCACAUUGCGCCCCUUGGUAUUCCAUGGGGCAUGCCUGUUCGAGCGUCAUUUGUACCUUCAAGCUUUGCUUGGUGUUGGGUGUUUGUCUCGCCUUUGCGUGUAGACUCGCCUUAAAAUAAUUGGCAGCCGGCGUAUUGAUUUCGGAGCGCAGUACAUCUCGCGCCUUGCACUCAUAACGACGACGUCCAAAAGUACAUUUUUACACUCUUGACCUCGGAUCAGGUAGGGAUACCCGCUGAACUUAAGCAUAUCAAUAAGCGGAGGA